GGCAGUAUAUUGGAUUUGACACAUUACAAUGGUUGACGUUUCAAAACAAACCGCGUAGUCAGCAAACAAAGGUUUAAUUUUGUGCUGUCUUGUCAAUGCAAUCUGAAUGUUCUAAAUUACUGCUUACCCACCCUGCCACAUAUACCACUGCAGAAGAAUUAUGUUCACCCAAAAGAAUACUUUGUAUAUUAGUUGGUGAUAAAAGUUGUUUUCAUUUUUAAAUCUACCAUCAUUAUAUCAUAAAGUUUUAAUAGAAACUGGCAUGCAUCAAUUUCGCAGUUUCC
Molecule: long non-coding RNA, 284 nt
Organism: Metopolophium dirhodum (rose-grain aphid)
Lineage: Eukaryota; Metazoa; Arthropoda; Insecta; Hemiptera; Aphididae
Exons: 3
Source: RefSeq, a predicted model, not a curated record